GAUGAACGCUGGCGGCGUGCCUAAUACAUGCAAGUCGAGCGAACAGACGAGGAGCUUGCUCCUCUGACGUUAGCGGCGGACGGGUGAGUAACACGUGGAUAACCUACCUAUAAGACUGGGAUAACUUCGGGAAACCGGAGCUAAUACCGGAUAAUAUAUUGAACCGCAUGGUUCAAUAGUGAAAGACGGUUUUGCUGUCACUUAUAGAUGGAUCCGCGCCGCAUUAGCUAGUUGGUAAGGUAACGGCUUACCAAGGCAACGAUGCGUAGCCGACCUGAGAGGGUGAUCGGCCACACUGGAACUGAGACACGGUCCAGACUCCUACGGGAGGCAGCAGUAGGGAAUCUUCCGCAAUGGGCGAAAGCUUGACGGAGCAACCCCGCGUGAGUGAUGAAGGUCUUCGGAUCGUAAAACUCUGUUAUUAGGGAAGAACAAAUGUGUAAGUAACUAUGCACGUCUUGACGGUACCUAAUCAGAAAGCCACGGCUAACUACGUG
RNAcentral lists this ribosomal RNA (497 nucleotides) under uncultured bacterium. Its description in RNAcentral is "partial 16S ribosomal RNA". It matches the Rfam family "Bacterial small subunit ribosomal RNA", at positions 28 to 507 of the family's 1533-position model. The record is from RNAcentral.